UUGUGCUGACGCACACCUGUUAAAAUUAAAAGUGCGGACGUAUUUCUCAUUUAAUGGUUCUUUUUCCACCGUUAGCUUAAUAACAUAAGCCUAUUGUAACACUGCAGUAUUCUCAGUUAUAAGUAACUACAAAAGCCUUACUGCCAAGUCUGUCUCACAGCUGGACUGAGCACCUGCUGUAUAUGGAGCUGGACAUACUUAUUGAUUAAUGUGCGGGGGAGUGGCCCCAGACAUCGUGGCUCCCUCAUUGCAUCCCCAAGCAUAGAAAACAAGCAACACAGGAAAAGUGAGGUAAAGCAAUUUGAAAACUGGACUCCAAUAUGACCUUUGAUUAUGAGAGGAAUAAAGCAGUGCUCAUAUCCCAGGCCUCUCCGUUUCCUCUCAACAUGAUGAAUGGGACACCCUGAGCUGCAGGACAGAACAACCAUUUGAGAAUCCAGGGCAAAGGUGGAGCCAUCUUUAAGGGAUGCUGGGAGGAUAACCGGUCCAUUUUUCUUGGCCUCCACCUUCAGAAGGGGCUCGGAUGCUCAGAUCCUAGACUGAAUAAUUUGUCACCUAUUUACAUGGAGCCAAGAACUGGGGAAAUGGAACGAGCAGGUGGUAUCUCACUCUCCCUCCUCCCUGUGCCACAGACAGAUGUGUCUAACUGCAAACAUCCCCCCAUCUUCUCUCCUUCUCCUGGGGCUCUCUUUCAAUGUGUUGCACUCUUGAUGUCUAAAAUAAGAAAGGCAAAUCACUGCUGCUCAGAACUGGCCUAAUAAUGUUUUUGUUAUCUGACAAAGAGUUAUUUUCUUAAUUGCACAACAAAUUGAUGGAUAACAGACAAAAUUAGAUAUCACAGUAUCACACAGAGCACACAGUUCUAUGCACAACCAAGAAAGCUUCAGAUUAUCUCAUUUGAUAACCUGGAGCCAUCAAAUUUUUGGAGUUUUAUUCAGGUCUGUAAACACACAGUACCGUGAGUUUGACUGUCUGUUAAUGUGUUUCUGCU
Oreochromis aureus is the source of this 991-nucleotide long non-coding RNA. RefSeq lists it as uncharacterized. Lineage: Eukaryota; Metazoa; Chordata; Actinopteri; Cichliformes; Cichlidae. The record is from RefSeq and is a predicted model, not a curated record. The transcript has 4 exons.